RNAcentral lists this long non-coding RNA (549 nucleotides) under Homo sapiens (human). Its description in RNAcentral is "long intergenic non-protein coding RNA 2002". Lineage: Eukaryota; Metazoa; Chordata; Mammalia; Primates; Hominidae. The record is from RNAcentral.
CUUUAGCGAGGCAGUCUCGGGCGCCCAGCUGUCAGAGCUGUUAGCCUGCUUAAACAGAGGAAAAUGGUACAGGCAGAGCUGGUCUGGUAUCAGGAAAAAGGCUGCCUACGAUAAUCCACUGCAGGACCCUAAAAGUCUCGACCUUAGGGCCCCCUCGGACCGUCUCCAAGGUCGGGUCCCGCUGGAGAAGGAGGCAUUUCGAGAGUGUUUGAAAUACUCUAAGACAUUUUGGAGCUCUUGGGGCCUAUAAUGAAGAAACGUAUAUCCUGCGAUGAAAACUUGAAACAAGCUACCUGUGAAAAUGCUUUGCAAUGUGUAGAUUCAUCUGACAGUUAAACCUUUGUUUUGAUUCAACAGGUUAGAAACACUGUUUUCAUAUAAUCUACGAAGGGACACUUCGGUGCCCAUUGAGGAUUAUAGUACAAAACCAAAUAUUAUGCAAUUAAAACUACAAACAAGCUAUUGGGGAAAAUGCUUUGCAAUGUGAAGAUUUGUCUCACAGAGGUAAACACUUACUUACAUACAGCAGGUUGGAAACACACUUUUUGA